RNAcentral lists this non-coding RNA (94 nucleotides) under Janibacter sp. RNAcentral describes it as "Glycine sequence". It matches the Rfam family "Glycine riboswitch aptamer". From Rfam's summary of the family: This family represents the bacterial glycine riboswitch. The record is from RNAcentral. Lineage: Bacteria; Bacillati; Actinomycetota; Actinomycetes; Micrococcales; Intrasporangiaceae.
UCACCCCGCGGGGGAGAGUCCUCGCGCAUUGCGCGGGGCGCCGAAGGGGCAAAUCUCCCCGGAACCUCUCAGGCGCCAGGACCUCGUGGAUCAG